UACGGGGGGGGCAAGCGUUGUUCGGAAUUAUUGGGCGUAAAGGGCUCGUAGGCGGCCAACUAAGUCAGACGUGAAAUCCCCAGGCUCAACCUGGGAACUGCGUCUGAUACUGGAUGGCUUGAAUCCGGGAGAGGGAUGCAGAAUUCCUGGUGUAGCGGUGAAAUUCGUAGAUAUCGGGAGGAACACCGGUGGCGAAGGCGACCCGCUGGCCAGUAACUGACGCUGAGACGCGAAAGCGUGGGGAGCAAACAGG
RNAcentral lists this ribosomal RNA (253 nucleotides) under uncultured bacterium. RNAcentral's name for it is "partial 16S ribosomal RNA". It matches the Rfam family "Bacterial small subunit ribosomal RNA", at positions 524 to 776 of the family's 1533-position model. The record is from RNAcentral.